Molecule: long non-coding RNA, 586 nt
Filed under: Mustela putorius furo (domestic ferret)
Lineage: Eukaryota; Metazoa; Chordata; Mammalia; Carnivora; Mustelidae
Description: lncRNA (ENSMPUG00000031227.1)
Source: RNAcentral
CUCGAUCUCACAUCCCUGAGACGGUGACCUGAGCUGAGAUCAAGAGCCACUCAGGUGCCCAGAGCCUGGAGAGACCACGCAGGGAAGGCUCUGAGGCCCGUGGGGUGUGGCAGGACUGGGUGUCCUCCCCGGAACCGCCCCCCCGGUGGAGUUGCUGGGCUCUUUCCAGGCAGCCUCUCCGUAGGAGUGCGUAGGAGACCCACAGGAACCCGGCAUCGCCUGGUGCUCCCCUUGCGUGGCCAUGUGUGGCCGGCAGCCGCGAGGGACGGAUGACCUUCUCUUGGUAAGUUUGUGCGGAGACGGCCGGUGAGCAGAUCAGGGCGGGGAUGGUUCCUCAGGGCAUUCGCUGUUGAGUCAUAGGUCCCACACCUGACAGUGAUGUCACAUUCUGUGUCAACAGAGGAGCAGGCUCCCCCCUGAGCAGGAAGCUGGAGGUGGGACUCGAUCCCAGGACCCCAGGAUCAUGACCAGACCCAAAGGCAGCCGCUCAACUGACUGAGCCACCCAGGAGCCCCUCUAAUCUCUCCUUGUAAAAUCACCAGUCGGAUGGGCGAAGGGCCCACCCUAUGGCCACAUUGUACCUUAA